GUACUGAUCAAGAGUCCCAAACUAGGACGAAACAGUUGUCCAGUAC
Non-coding RNA from Trichobilharzia regenti, 46 nucleotides. Lineage: Eukaryota; Metazoa; Platyhelminthes; Trematoda; Strigeidida; Schistosomatidae. The record is from Rfam.